RNAcentral lists this ribosomal RNA (702 nucleotides) under Furfurilactobacillus rossiae. RNAcentral describes it as "bacterial SSU rRNA". It matches the Rfam family "Bacterial small subunit ribosomal RNA", at positions 382 to 1076 of the family's 1533-position model. Lineage: Bacteria; Bacillati; Bacillota; Bacilli; Lactobacillales; Lactobacillaceae. The record is from RNAcentral.
CCUGAUGGAGCACGCCGCGUGAGUGAAGAAGGGUUUCGGCUCGUAAAACUCUGUUGUUAAAGAAGAACGUAUCUGAGAGUAACUGUUCAGAUAGUGACGGUAUUUAACAAGAAAGCCACGGCUAACUACGUGCCAGCAGCCGCGGUAAUACGUAGGUGGCAAGCGUUAUCCGGAUUUAUUGGGCGUAAAGGGAGUGCAGGCGGUUAUUUAAGUCUGAUGUGAAAGCCUUCGGCUUAACCGGAGAAGGGCAUCGGAAACUGGAUAACUUGAGUGCAGAAGAGGGUAGUGGAACUCCAUGUGUAGCGGUGGAAUGCGUAGAUAUAUGGAAGAACACCAGUGGCGAAGGCGGCUACCUAGUCUGUAACUGACGCUGAGGCUCGAAAGCAUGGGUAGCAAACAGGAUUAGAUACCCUGGUAGUCCAUGCCGUAAACGAUGAAUACUAGGUGUUAGGGGGUUUCCGCCCCUUAGUGCCGCAGCUAACGCAAUAAGUAUUCCGCCUGGGGAGUACGACCGCAAGGUUGAAACUCAAAGGAAUUGACGGGGACCCGCACAAGCGGUGGAGCAUGUGGUUUAAUUCGAAGCUACGCGAAGAACCUUACCAGGGCUUGACAUCUUCUGCUAAUCCGAGAGAUCGGACGUUCCCUUCGGGGACGGAAAGACAGGUGGUGCAUGGUUGUCGUCAGCUCGUGUCGUGAGAUGUU